AUUAAAUAAAUAAAAAUAACAAUAGUUCUAAAAAAGAUUAUUUAAAAAAAAAUAUUUAUUUUUAAGAUUUAGAGUUUAGUGUUUAAGAUUUAUAAUUUAGAAUUUAUCCAAAUGUUUAGUGUUUUUCCAAGGGUUUAAGGUUUACCUAAGGGUUUAUGGUUUACCCAAGGGUUUAGGGUUUUCCCAAGGGGUUUAGGGUUUAGGGUUUAGGAUUAGAGUUUAGGGUUUAGUGUUUUGUUGACAACAUGUUUAGUGUUUUUCUAAGGGUUUAGGGUUUACCCAAUGAUUUAGGGUUUACCCAAGGGUUUAGGGUUUAGGAUUUGAGUUUAGGAUUUAGUAUUAGAGUUUAGGGUUUAAUAUUAGAGUUUAGGGUUUAGUGUUUUGUUGACAACAUUAUUAAUUUUUUGAAUUCGUUUUUUAUAUAUUAUUUUUAUUUAUUUUUAAAUUUUAUUUUGAAAAUAUAAUAUAAUUUGCCAAGUUAUUUAGUUUCCUUAAUUAAAAGAUACUAGAUUUAAAAUGAAAAUUUUCUAUUGGUUGGUGAAUCUAAAC
RNAcentral lists this long non-coding RNA (549 nucleotides) under Brassica napus (rape). Its description in RNAcentral is "long non-coding RNA (BNAP_LNC007685)". The record is from RNAcentral. Lineage: Eukaryota; Viridiplantae; Streptophyta; Magnoliopsida; Brassicales; Brassicaceae.